UACGAAGGGGGCUAGCGUUGCUCGGAAUUACUGGGCGUAAAGCGCACGUAGGCGGCUCUUUAAGUCGGGGGUGAAAUCCUGGAGCUCAACUCCAGAACUGCCUUCGAUACUGAAGAGCUUGAGUCCGGGAGAGGUGAGUGGAACUGCGAGUGUAGAGGUGAAAUUCGUAGAUAUUCGGAAGAACACCAGUGGCGAAGGCGGCUCACUGGACUGGUAUUGACGCUGAUGUGCGAAAGCGUGGGGAGCAAACAGG
Molecule: ribosomal RNA, 253 nt
Filed under: uncultured bacterium
Lineage: Bacteria
Description: partial 16S ribosomal RNA
Rfam family: Bacterial small subunit ribosomal RNA
Source: RNAcentral